GCCCAAGAGAUCGGGAUAACACCUGGAAACAGAUGCUAAUACCGGAUAACAACAGAUGAUGCCUAUCAACUGUUUAAAAGAUGGUUCUGCUAUCACUCUUGGAUGGACCUGCGAUGCAUUAGCUAGUUGGUAGGGUAACGGCCUACCAAGGCGAUGAUGCAUAGCCGAGUUGAGAGACUGAUCGGCCACAUUGGGGCUGAGACACGGCCCAAACUCCUACGGGAGGCAGCAGAG
RNAcentral lists this ribosomal RNA (234 nucleotides) under uncultured Lactobacillus sp. RNAcentral's name for it is "partial 16S ribosomal RNA". It matches the Rfam family "Bacterial small subunit ribosomal RNA", at positions 128 to 354 of the family's 1533-position model. Lineage: Bacteria; Bacillati; Bacillota; Bacilli; Lactobacillales; Lactobacillaceae. The record is from RNAcentral.